GAGUUUGAUCCUGGCUCAGGAUGAACGCUGGCGGCGUGCCUAAUACAUGCAAGUCGAACGCUUUGUGGUUCAACUGAUUUGAAGAGCUUGCUCAGAUAUGACGAUGGACAUUGCAAAGAGUGGCGAACGGGUGAGUAACACGUGGGAAACCUACCUCUUAGCAGGGGAUAACAUUUGGAAACAGAUGCUAAUACCGUAUAACAAUGACAACCGCAUGGUUGUUAUUUAAAAGAUGGUUCUGCUAUCACUAAGAGAUGGUCCCGCGGUGCAUUAGCUAGUUGGUAAGGUAAUGGCUUACCAAGGCGAUGAUGCAUAGCCGAGUUGAGAGACUGAUCGGCCACAAUGGGACUGAGACACGGCCCAUACUCCUACGGGAGGCAGCAGUAGGGAAUCUUCCACAAUGGGCGAAAGCCUGAUGGAGCAACGCCGCGUGUGUGAUGAAGGGUUUCGGCUCGUAAAACACUGUUGUAAGAGAAGAAUGACAUUGAGAGUAACUGUUCAAUGUGUGACGGUAUCUUACCAGAAAGGAACGGCUAAAUACGUGCCAGCAGCCGCGGUAAUACGUAUGUUCCAAGCGUUAUCCGGAUUUAUUGGGCGUAAAGCGAGCGCAGACGGUUAUUUAAGUCUGAAGUGAAAGCCCUCAGCUCAACUGAGGAAUUGCUUUGGAAACUGGAUGACUUGAGUGCAGUAGAGGAAAGUGGAACUCCAUGUGUAGCGGUGAAAUGCGUAGA
This 731-nucleotide ribosomal RNA is filed under the name uncultured bacterium. RNAcentral describes it as "bacterial SSU rRNA". It matches the Rfam family "Bacterial small subunit ribosomal RNA", at positions 9 to 694 of the family's 1533-position model. The record is from RNAcentral.